Molecule: RNA transcript, 1560 nt
Organism: Toxorhynchites rutilus septentrionalis
Lineage: Eukaryota; Metazoa; Arthropoda; Insecta; Diptera; Culicidae
Gene name: DNA damage-binding protein 1-like
Exons: 5
Source: RefSeq, a predicted model, not a curated record
ACACUAAUACACUAAUGUGCAUUAGUGUAGUCGCGUGAAAUUCAUGUCAGCUUGCGUGUGUAACUGCAUGCGACAUUCAUUAUAUCGAAAUUGGAGCAGGCAAGUCGGAGCACUAGAGCACUGUCACAUUCAGUCUAGAACGAAAGCUCCAGCCGUUCGGAACCAUUCGGCAGCGGUUUUCUCAAAUGUCAACCUGAAGGAAGUAAAUCAUAUGUGCUCACUUAAUGCCGGAGCGUAUCAGGACAGUUUGGCUCUUGCAACCGAAUAUUUAAUUAUUCUUGGUACAAUUAAUGAAAUUCAAAAGUUACACAUUCGAACGGUACAAAUGGGACCAGGAAGCUUCUCAAUAGUUUGGUGUUAUAACGGGGCGAAUGGAUCUUCAGGACUCGAGUGGUCUGACUCCUUCGAGACAGAGCGCGUCAACUCAGACGACAAAUGUAACUUACUCGAGCAACAUGGCACUGCUUAAGCCAGGAGCCAGUAGUGCCGAGUUUGGUCAAGAAGUUGAAAUUCACAAUCUACUUAUCAUCGAUCAGAAUACGUUCGAGUUGCUACAUGCACAUCAAUUCAUGCAAACGGAGUAUACUAUGUCACUGAUUCCGGCGAAGUUGGGUAACGACUCAAAUACUUAUUGCAUCGUCGGAACAGCACUGGUACAUCAAGCGGAACCGGAACCCAAAGUAGGAAGGAUUAUCAUCUAUCACUACGCGGAUGGAGCCCUCACUCAAGUUAGCGAGAAGGGAAUCAAGGGAGCGUGCUAUUCUCUCAUUGAGUUUAACCGUCGUGUAUUAGCUAGCAUCAAUUCAACUGUACGAUUGUAUGAGUGGACUGAUGAUAAGAAUUUGCGACUUGAAUGUAACCAUUUCAAUAACGUGUUGGCAUAUAAAACCAAGGGCGACUUCAUUUUGGUGGGUGAUUUGAUGCGAUCUGUCACGCUGGAGGUAAUUUUGAGGAGAUCGCUCGCGACUAUUAACCAAAUUGGAUGACAGUGAUUUCCUCGGGCGGAUAACAGAACAAUCUAUUUGUUUGCCUAAAAGAUGAGGCCGCAGCAACGGACGACGAACGAUAGCAAGUACCAAAGGUUGCUCAAUGCGAUCUCGGUGAUAUGGUGAAUGUAUUCCGCCACGGUUCGCUCGUGAUGCAAAACUUUGGUGAGCGAACGACGGCGACAACGGGUUGUGUGCUAUUUGGCAUAGUCAACGAUGCAAUUGGGAAAUUUGACUGACACAAUCAAAUCUGUUGAAAAUUGCAGAUCGACGUGGAUGGAACUAAGAAGGAAGCGGCCGUACAUGAUAUAAUCAAGAUUAUAGAAGACCUAACAUGGAUACAUUAGGAUGUCUAGUGUUGAUCAUUAUUAUUGAAUGGAUGCUAUCAGUUGUUUUCUGGUUGACAAAACGAGAAGUUACAAUUUUUUCUAAAAAAGUUGAUUAAUAAAUCAACUCAUUCAAAGAGAGAUGUUCGAACUGACUGCUGGACGAAGAUCGAGCAAGCUCAUGAAUUUCAGCAAUGGUCGCGAAAAAUAAUUUCAUGUUUGUAGGGUAAUAAAGAAAUUUCAGUGAA